UACGUAGGUGGCAAGCGUUGUCCGGAAUUAUUGGGCGUAAAGCGCGCGCAGGCGGUCCUUUAAGUCUGAUGUGAAAGCCCACGGCUCAACCGUGGAGGGUCAUUGGAAACUGGGGGACUUGAGGACAGAAGAGGAAAGCGGAAUUCCACGUGUAGCGGUGAAAUGCGUAGAGAUGUGGAGGAACACCAGUGGCGAAGGCGGCUUUCUGGACGGUAACUGACGCUGAGACGCGAAAGCGUGGGGAGCAAACAGG
RNAcentral lists this ribosomal RNA (253 nucleotides) under uncultured bacterium. RNAcentral's name for it is "partial 16S ribosomal RNA". It matches the Rfam family "Bacterial small subunit ribosomal RNA", at positions 524 to 776 of the family's 1533-position model. The record is from RNAcentral.